Molecule: ribosomal RNA, 445 nt
Filed under: uncultured bacterium
Lineage: Bacteria
Description: bacterial SSU rRNA
Rfam family: Bacterial small subunit ribosomal RNA
Source: RNAcentral
GCCAGACUCCUACGGGAGGCAGCAGUGGGGAAUAUUGCACAAUGGGGGAAACCCUGAUGCAGCGACGCCGCGUGAGUGAAGAAGUAUUUCGGUAUGUAAAGCUCUAUCAGCAGGGAAGAAAAUGACGGUACCUGACUAAGAAGCCCCGGCUAACUACGUGCCAGCAGCCGCGGUAAUACGUAGGGGGCAAGCGUUAUCCGGAUUUACUGGGUGUAAAGGGAGCGUAGACGGUGAUGCAAGUCAGAAGUGAAAGCCCGGGGCUCAACUCCGGGACUGCUUUUGAAACUGUGUAACUGGAGUGCAGGAGAGGUAAGCGGAAUUCCUAGUGUAGCGGUGAAAUGCGUAGAUAUUAGGAGGAACACCAGUGGCGAAGGCGGCCUGCUGGACGGUGACUGACGCUGAGGCUCGAAAGCGUGGGGAGCAAACAGGAUUAGAUACCCCGGUA